Molecule: ribosomal RNA, 621 nt
Filed under: Salmonella enterica subsp. enterica
Lineage: Bacteria; Pseudomonadati; Pseudomonadota; Gammaproteobacteria; Enterobacterales; Enterobacteriaceae
Description: partial 23S ribosomal RNA
Rfam family: Bacterial large subunit ribosomal RNA
Source: RNAcentral
GUGUCUGGUGGGUAGUUUGACUGGGGCGGUCUCCUCCUAAAGAGUAACGGAGGAGCACGAAGGUUGGCUAAUCCUGGUCGGACAUCAGGAGGUUAGUGCAAUGGCAUAAGCCAGCUUGACUGCGAGCGUGACGGCGCGAGCAGGUGCGAAAGCAGGUCAUAGUGAUCCGGUGGUUCUGAAUGGAAGGGCCAUCGCUCAACGGAUAAAAGGUACUCCGGGGAUAACAGGCUGAUACCGCCCAAGAGUUCAUAUCGACGGCGGUGUUUGGCACCUCGAUGUCGGCUCAUCACAUCCUGGGGCUGAAGUAGGUCCCAAGGGUAUGGCUGUUCGCCAUUUAAAGUGGUACGCGAGCUGGGUUUAGAACGUCGUGAGACAGUUCGGUCCCUAUCUGCCGUGGGCGCUGGAGAACUGAGGGGGGCUGCUCCUAGUACGAGAGGACCGGAGUGGACGCAUCACUGGUGUUCGGGUUGUCAUGCCAAUGGCACUGCCCGGUAGCUAAAUGCGGAAGAGAUAAGUGCUGAAAGCAUCUAAGCACGAAACUUGCCCCGAGAUGAGUUCUCCCUGAGACUUAGAGUCUCCUGAAGGAACGUUGAAGACGACGACGUUGAUAGGCCGGGUGUG